CAUUGAAUGGCUGAAAAUAAAGCAUUGGUCUCUUAAACCAUAUCAUAGUAUAUUAUACUUUCAAUGA
Molecule: transfer RNA, 67 nt
Filed under: Alectorobius fonsecai
Lineage: Eukaryota; Metazoa; Arthropoda; Arachnida; Ixodida; Argasidae
Description: tRNA-Lys
Rfam family: tRNA
About the family: Transfer RNA (tRNA) molecules are approximately 80 nucleotides in length. Their secondary structure includes four short double-helical elements and three loops (D, anti-codon, and T loops).
Source: RNAcentral